UACCUGCAGCUCGAGUGGUAACCGCUAUUAUUGGGCCUAAAGCGUCCGUAGCCGGUUUGGUAAAAUAUCUGGGUAAAUCGUGAGGCUUAACUUCACGAAUUUCGGAUAGACUGCCAGACUUGGGAUCGGGGGAGGUCAGAGGUACUCCAGGGGUAGCGGUGAAAUGUUGUAAUCCUUGGAGGACCACCGGUAGCGAAGGCGUCUGACUAGAACGAGUCCGACGGUGAGGGACGAAGCCCUGGGGCGCAAACCGGAUUAGAUACCCGGGUAGUCCAGGGUGUAAACGAUGUGGGCUUUGUAUUGGAGGUCCCACGUGGGCGUCCAGUGCAGAAGAGAAGUUGUUAAGCCCACCGCCUGGGAAGUACGGUCGCAAGGCUGAAACUUAAAGGAAUUGGCGGGGAGCACAGCAACGGGAGGAGCGUGCGGUUU
RNAcentral lists this ribosomal RNA (429 nucleotides) under uncultured archaeon. RNAcentral's name for it is "bacterial SSU rRNA". It matches the Rfam family "Archaeal small subunit ribosomal RNA", at positions 474 to 903 of the family's 1478-position model. The record is from RNAcentral.